AAGGGUAUAUAAACUUCGGCUUGCCGAAGUUUGCUUCCUUUCUUGUUUUUUUUCAUUCUUUUUCUGAAUCGACAAUAUGAUGAGAAUAUUCUGUACAAAUUUUAAAUCAAUCCGAGCAAAACUAACGGAGAUACAGCGUCUCAAACGGUAGGCAGUAGAGCUGGAAAAAACAUAGGCGAUGUAUCGAUACAUCGAUGUUUUUCGAAAAUCGGGAAACAUCGAGGUUUCAAAACAUCGAUGUUCGAUGUUUCCUCUUUACCCAUCACUACUUGGCAGGAAAAAAUCUUGAUUACAGUCUGAUUCCGAAAGUUUGAUAUUGGUUUUGGCGGCGCUCAGAAAUGGAGAAGGCUUUGAAAGAGCAGAAUAACAAUGUUGCCUGUCAAGAGGAAGAAAGCGACAGUACGGUCCCAAGUAAACAUGCGUUUUUAAAUACUUCUGCGUUCCGGCCACCUCUACUGAAAGCGAGAGGAUGUUCAGUAAGGCCGGGCUUAUUAUCAGCGAAAAGCGAAGCUCGCUUAAGGCUAAAAACGUCAAUAUGUUAUUAUUUUUAAACAAAAAUGACUGGAUUUCUUAAGUUAAGUUAUUUUCUUAUUCUUUUGAGUAGAACUCGAUAUUAUUUUUUAUUGUAAUUUUCAUUGAAUUGUGAUUUAGUUUUUAUUUUGAUUUUUGAAGGAAAGAGAAGAAAUAUAAGCUGAGUAUAUGGAUCUCAAAUAAAGCCUCAUUAUUUAUCAAGACCUUUUACAAAUUUGAUUUAUUUAUGGUAUUGAUUAAUAAUAUGUGAUGGAGAAAAAUACAUUUUUUCAAAAACACCUUAAAAUAAUUCGAUGCAUCGAUACAUCGAUGUAGGGAAACAUCGAUUAUUUUCCAUCUCUAGUAGGCAGUGUUACCAGAUUGUUCACGUAUAAAAAACCUUAAAUCGAUUUUCCCGAAAACGUCUUUUUUGAAGUUUGUGAACAUCGGAACUCAAAAUCUACUCAAACGAUCCUUUUGAAUAUUUGAACAUUACUUCUUCACACAAAUCAGUACGUUAUCACGAACAGUUUUUUAAAUUUUUUUUUAUAAAAAAACGCGGUUAUUUUUUAUACCGUUGUAGAGGGUAUUAUAAUUUCAGUCAGAAGUUUGCAAAGCAGUGAAGGACACAUUCUCAACCCUAUAUAGUAUAUAUAUUCUUGAUCA
This is a long non-coding RNA of Drosophila elegans, 1176 nucleotides long. RefSeq lists it as uncharacterized. The record is from RefSeq and is a predicted model, not a curated record. The transcript has 3 exons. Lineage: Eukaryota; Metazoa; Arthropoda; Insecta; Diptera; Drosophilidae.